Sphaerodactylus townsendi is the source of this 108-nucleotide small nuclear RNA. The record is from RefSeq and is a predicted model, not a curated record. NCBI's taxonomy places the organism in Eukaryota, Metazoa, Chordata, Lepidosauria, Squamata, Sphaerodactylidae.
AGUGCUCAUUUUGGCAGCACUUUAUGCUAAAACUGAAACAACACAGGACGAUUACCAUGGCCCCUGUGCAAGGAUGAUACACAAAUCCAUGAAAUCCUUCAUAAACAG